RNAcentral lists this ribosomal RNA (120 nucleotides) under Helianthus annuus (common sunflower). RNAcentral also lists the same sequence under 1 other name. The record is from RNAcentral. Lineage: Eukaryota; Viridiplantae; Streptophyta; Magnoliopsida; Asterales; Asteraceae.
GGUUGCGAUCAUACCAGCACUAAUGCACCGGAUCACAUCAGAACUCCGCAGUUAAGCGUGCUUGGGCGAGAGUAGUACUAGGAUGGGUGACCCCCUGGGAAGUCCUCGUGUUGCAACCCC